RNAcentral lists this ribosomal RNA (300 nucleotides) under Leptospira borgpetersenii serovar Ballum. Its description in RNAcentral is "partial 23S ribosomal RNA". It matches the Rfam family "Bacterial large subunit ribosomal RNA", at positions 1950 to 2252 of the family's 2925-position model. The record is from RNAcentral. Lineage: Bacteria; Pseudomonadati; Spirochaetota; Leptospiria; Leptospirales; Leptospiraceae.
CCUAAGGUAGCGAAAUUCCUUGUCGGGUAAGUUCCGACCUGCACGAAUGGCAUAAUGAUGGCAGCGCUGUCUCCACCCGAGACUCAGUGAAAUUGAAAUCGCUGUGAAGAUGCAGCGUUCCCGUGGCAAGACGGAAAGACCCCGUGAACCUUUACUACAGCUUUACAUUGAACUUUGACCUGACUUGUGCAGGAUAGGUGGGAGGCUUUGAAGCAGAUACGCCAGUAUUUGUGGAGCCAUCCUUGAAAUACCACCCUGGUCAUGUUGGGGUUCUAACUCAGGUAUAACAAUACCGAGGAC